RNAcentral lists this long non-coding RNA (1361 nucleotides) under Equus caballus (horse). RNAcentral's name for it is "lncRNA (ENSECAG00000046740.1)". The record is from RNAcentral. Lineage: Eukaryota; Metazoa; Chordata; Mammalia; Perissodactyla; Equidae.
GUUAUUGCAGACUCUUUAGAAUAACUUUAUCAGUAACAAAAAUUAGCUACAUGAAUAACGUGCAAUAGUUUUACAUUAUGUAUCAUACUGAAUGAUUGGAUAAGAAAUUUGGCUGACAAGAUAUGCACAUCUCUUAUUACAUGCAAAAAGCAAGUUGCAGAACAUAUAUGCUUAUAUUAUGCCCGUGAACUGGCAAGUUUGGAGGCUGAAAGGAUUGAACUUCACAAAUAAGAGUUCUUUUUACAAACAUUCCAGUUAUCAGAUUUGGACAACACAAGUAGAAGCCUUGUUAAACUCAAUCUCCGUUGUCACUGGCUGCCUGCUCAUGUUCUUGGAGUGUUGCCAACAGGUUCUAUCUCUGAUUCCAUUCUCAAGGGUGAGCAUGUUUUAUCAAACCAGGAAAGAGCCACAACUCUAGCAACUGUGAGCAACAGAAAAGCUAGAAAAAUGGAUAGAAUUCAAAAGCCGAUUGUGCGGGCAGCAAUGACAGCCUACCUACCUUCUACAGCUUUGGAGAAGUUUACUUUUCUUCUCUUGAACUAUCUACCAGUCUGUAUCUGGAGUGCUUUCUGAAGGAAUUGGAUCUAUACCUGCCUGGCCAAAUAGAGCUGUCAAGGAUGGGGUGUGAUCCAAGCGACUAUUAACCCAGUAGCCUGUUUUCCCAGCAUCUUGGCCGUGUGGAAAUAGACUAACGGUUUCUGCUGUCAUACUUGUAGACAGCUGAACAAUGACAUUUAUGGUUACCAGGAAGAUUGUGUCUUGGCCAACAUUCUAAAACUUCACAUUUACUCAUUUUUUGAUUUUUUUUUGCCGAGCAAAGCAGAAACUGACUGCAGGAAAAUCAGGUGUGUUUAGAAGCAAUUGCCUGCUUUGUUACUCAUUAGGGACUUACAUUAGCUUGGAGUAGAUGUCGAUGCAUUCUUUCCUUAACUGAUUAAAGUCUGGAUUUCUCAUCUCCCUAACUCUGGUAUUACCAAAGAGACACUCCUGUCCAGUGCACAGAUAAUUUCAUAUUGACUGCUGUGUUAGAGACUGGCUUGUUUCAGCCAAACUAUAUUCUCUUCUUGAGUGUAAAUUAGAUUCUCAUUUUCAGACUUCCUCAGUAUGGCUACAUGUCGUGUUCUCAACCAAUGAAAUAUGUAUGUGACUUCUGAGUCAAGGGAGUUAAGAAGCAUGCGUAUUUUGUCUACCUGCUUCUUUCUCAUUUGCUACCUGAACGCAGAAGACUCCAAGGUCUUACAGGAGGGACAUGAGGUGGAAGGUGUUUGGGUACCAGAAUGACUCUGUGGAAGGCCAGAGACUGAUCACAUUUACAUUGUAUUGUUAUAUGAAUGAGAAAUAAACUUUUAUUGAGUAACAGC